AGAGUUUGAUUCUGGCUCAGGAUGAACGCUGGCGGCGUGCUUAACACAUGCAAGUCGAACGAGGAAGGUUAGAAUGAGAGCUUCGGCAGGAUUUCUUUCCAUCUUAGUGGCGGACGGGUGAGUAACGUGUGGGCAACCUGCCCUGUACUGUGGAAUAAUCAUUGGAAACGAUGACUAAUACCGCAUGUGGUCCUCGGAAGGCAUCUUCUGAGGAAGAAGGGAUUUAUUCGGUACAGGAUGGGCCCGCAUCUGAUUAGCUAGUUGGUGAGAUAACAGCCCACCAAGGCGACGAUCAGUAGCCGACCUGAGAGGGUGAUCGGCCACAUUGGGACUGAGACACGGCCCAAACUCCUACGGGAGGGUAGCAGUGGGGAAUAUUGCACAAUGGGGCAAAGCCUGAUGCAACAACGCCGCGUGAAGGAUGAGGGGUUUCGGCUUGUAAACUUCUAUCAAUAGGGAAGAAACAAAUGACGGUACCUAAAUAAGAAGCCCCGGCUAACUACGUGCCAGCAGCCGCGGUAAUACGUAGGGGGCAAGCGUUAUCCGGAAUUACUGGGUGUAAAGGGAGCGUAGGCGGCAUGGUAAGCCAGAUGUGAAAGCCUUGGGCUUAACCCGAGGAUUGCAUUUGGAACUAUCAAGCUAGAGUACAGGAGAGGAAAGCGGAACUCCUAGUGUAGCGGUGAAAUGCGUAGAUAUUAGGAAGAACACCAGUGGCGAAGGCGGCUUUCUGGACUGAAACUGACGCUGAGGCUCGAAAGCGUGGGGAGCAAACAGGAUUAGAUACCCUGGUAGUCCACGCCGUAAACGAUGAGUGCUAGGUGUCGGGGGGGAAUCCUCGGUGCCGCAGCUAACGCAAUAAGCACUCCACCUGGGGAGUACGGCCGCAAGGUUGAAACUCAAAGGAAUUGACGGGGGCCCGCACAAGCGGUGGAGCAUGUGGUUUAAUUCGAAGCAACGCGAAGAACCUUACCAAGGCUUGACAUCCCGAUGACCGUCCUAGAGAUAGGACUUCUCUUCGGAGCAUCGGUGACAGGUGGUGCAUGGUUGUCGUCAGCUCGUGUCGUGAGAUGUUGGGUUAAGUCCCGCAACGAGCGCAACCCUUAUCUUCAGUAGCCAUCAUUCAGUUGGGCACUCUGGAGAGACUGCCGCGGAUAACACGGAGGAAGGUGGGGAGGACGUCAAAUCAUCAUGCCCCUUAUGUCUUGGGCUGCACACGUGCUACAAUGGCUGGUAACAAAGUGACGCAAGACGGCGACGUUAAGCAAAUCACAAAAACCCAGUCCCAGUUCGGAUUGUAGUCUGCAACUCGACUACACGAAGCUGGAAUCGUUAGUAAUCGCGAAUCAGCAUGUCGCGGUGAAUAAGAUCCCGGGCCUUGCACA
Molecule: ribosomal RNA, 1382 nt
Filed under: uncultured bacterium
Lineage: Bacteria
Description: bacterial SSU rRNA
Rfam family: Bacterial small subunit ribosomal RNA
Source: RNAcentral